GACGAACGCUGGCGGCGUGCCUAAUACAUGCAAGUUGAGCGCUGAAGGUUGGUACUUGUACCAACUGGAUGAGCAGCGAACGGGUGAGUAACGCGUGGGGAAUCUGCCUUUGAGCGGGGGACACCAUUUGGAAACGAAUGCUAAUACCGCAUAAAACCUUAAAAAACAAGUUUUAAGUUUGAAAGAUGCAUUUGCAUCACUCAAAGAUGAUCCCGCGUUGUAUUAGCUAGUUGGUGAGGUAAAGGCUCACCAAGGCGAUGAUACAUAGCCGACCUGAGAGGGUGAUCGGCCACAUUGGGACUGAGACACGGCCCAAACUCCUACGGGAGGCAGCAGUAGGGAAUCUUCGGCAAUGGACGAAAGUCUGACCGAGUAACGCCGCGUGAGUGAAGAAGGUUUUCGGAUCGUAAAACUCUGUUGGUAGAGAAGAACGUUGGUGAGAGUGAAAAGCUCAUCAAGUGACGGUAACUACCCAGAAAGGGACGGCUAACUACGUG
RNAcentral lists this ribosomal RNA (497 nucleotides) under uncultured bacterium. RNAcentral describes it as "partial 16S ribosomal RNA". It matches the Rfam family "Bacterial small subunit ribosomal RNA", at positions 28 to 507 of the family's 1533-position model. The record is from RNAcentral.